Molecule: transfer RNA, 82 nt
Filed under: Pelodiscus sinensis (Chinese soft-shelled turtle)
Lineage: Eukaryota; Metazoa; Chordata; Testudines; Trionychidae
Rfam family: tRNA
About the family: Transfer RNA (tRNA) molecules are approximately 80 nucleotides in length.
Source: Rfam by way of RNAcentral
GCUGUGAUAGCCCAGUGGUUAAGGUGUUGGACUUAAAAUCCAAUAGGGUUGCCCUGUGCAGGUUCAAAUCCUGCUUACAGGG